UCGAGGAUCUUCGGCAAUGGGCGCAAGCCUGACCGAGCGACGCCGCGUGCGGGAUGAAGGCCUUCGGGUUGUAAACCGCUGUCAGUGGGGAGAAAUGGUACGUGGGUACUCCCACGUAUUUGAUCUAUCCGCAGAGGAAGUGUGGGCUAAGUUCGUGCCAGCAGCCGCGGUAAGACGAACCACACAAACGUUAUUCGGAAUUACUGGGCUUAAAGGGUGCGUAGGCUGCGCAGCAAGUUGGGUGUGAAAUCCCUCGGCUCAACCGAGGAACUGCGCCCAAAACUGCUGUGCUCGAGGGAGACAGAGGUGAGCGGAACUUAGGGUGGAGCGGUGAAAUGCGUUGAUAUCCUAAGGAACACCCGUGGCGAAAGCGGCUCACUGGGUCUCUUCUGACGCUGAGGCACGAAAGCUAGGGUAGCGAACGGGAUUAGAUACCCCGGUAGUCC
This 446-nucleotide ribosomal RNA is filed under the name uncultured bacterium. RNAcentral describes it as "bacterial SSU rRNA". It matches the Rfam family "Bacterial small subunit ribosomal RNA", at positions 355 to 796 of the family's 1533-position model. The record is from RNAcentral.